UCCUCUCACCAUGGCCUGGUCUCUUGUUAACCUCCUGCUGCUCACCUUCUGCUCAGGCUCCCUCUCCCAGCUUGUGCCAACUCAGCCUCCCUCUGCCUCUGCAUCCCUGGGGAGCACAGCCAGACUCGCCUGCACCCUGACCAGUGGGUACAGUGGUAAUACUGUUUUUUGGCACCAGCAGAUCCCAGGAAAGGCCCCUCAGUAUAUUCUGUAUGUCAACAGUGAUGGAAAUAUAGGUAGGGCUAAUGGGAUCCCUGAGCGCUUCUCUGGCUCUGGCUCUGAGGCUGAUCGAUUCCUGUCCAUCAGCAAUAUCCAGCCUGAGGAUGAAGCCAAUUAUUACUGUGUGGCAAGUCACGGCAGUGUUUACCCACAGUGGUGCAUUCAGUGA
Molecule: non-coding RNA, 388 nt
Organism: Gracilinanus agilis (Agile Gracile Mouse Opossum)
Lineage: Eukaryota; Metazoa; Chordata; Mammalia; Didelphimorphia; Didelphidae
Source: the annotation of a RefSeq genome assembly